AUUGAACGCUGGCGGCAUGCCUUACACAUGCAAGUCGAACGGCAGCACGGGAGCAGUCCUGGUGGCGAGUGGCGAACGGGUGAGUAAAGUAUCGGAACGUGCCCAGUCGUGGGGGAUAACGUAGCGAAAGUUACGCUAAUACCGCAUACGAUCUGUGGAUGAAAGCGGGGGAUCGCAAGACCUCGCGCGAUUGGAGCGGCCGAUAUCAGAUUAGGUAGUUGGUGGGGUAAAGGCUCACCAAGCCGACGAUCUGUAGCUGGUUUGAGAGGACGACCAGACACGCUGGGACUGAGACACGGCCCAGACUCCUACGGGAGGCAGCAGUGGGGAAUUUUGGACAAUGGGCGAAAGCCUGAUCCAGCCAUGCCGCGUGCAGGAUGAAGGCCUUCGGGUUGUAAACUGCCUUUGUACGGAACGAAAAGGUUUGGCCUAAUAAGCUGAGCUCAUGACGGUACCGUAAGAAUAAGCACCGGCUAACUACGUGCCAGCCGCCGCAGUAA
RNAcentral lists this ribosomal RNA (500 nucleotides) under uncultured bacterium. RNAcentral describes it as "partial 16S ribosomal RNA". It matches the Rfam family "Bacterial small subunit ribosomal RNA", at positions 30 to 523 of the family's 1533-position model. The record is from RNAcentral.